GCUUGCUUAUUGGGGAAAUGUCUUCCCAGCUACUUACUGCCGUUUUAUAACACUGCAGCAUAUGGGAUCAAAGACUAGAACUGCCACCUCCUGUUUACAAUGGGCUGGAGCAGCCACAGAAGUGUCAGGGCUGCUUUCUGUCUCAGUGUGGUUGGGAAUAAGACUGACAAGCUUUGAGACAGGACUUUUGUUGGGUGUAUGCACCAAAGAGAGAAGAAGAACAGAGAGACGACAGACUGCAGUUUUCUCACUAGUCUCAAAUACAAACUUUAAGAUUGCAUUCACUGGCUGUACCUGCUAACUCAGGUACCUUAGCAUAAAGAUUUGCAGGCACGUGUAAGGAUGGCUUUUGAAAAGAGGGAAAAAAACACAGGCACUCAUCAUCUACUAAUAACACCGACUGAAGUGAGAGACAUGCACCUUUCUUCUCUGCCCUUGCUGUAUAUACAUUAAACAAAGAAUGUCAUUCCCUUUCCUCUGUGUACCUUGUGCAAAAGCUAGGAAUUAUAUCAUUGCCUGCAUCUAGUCUUUCUGGUUGGGGUGCACAUUGCUAUAUGUGGAAAACAAAAGGAUAAAGAUGAACUGCUGCUUUCUUUCUUGCAGUAGUGGCCUUGGAGGUGGACUAAGAUCAGAGAGCAUCUUGCGCACUCCAUCUAUCAGAGGAACAAGAAUCUUGCAAGGAUAUUAGGCAUCUAUAACACAUAAUCUUCUUCUGAACUACACCUAUCCAAAAGGUCCAAGCCUUUGCUUGAAUAUUUUCUGAUAUUCAUGCUGAAAGGCUGACUUGCAUGCGCAAGUAUCAGCUCAUGGGUUCUGUGAGUACCUAAGAAUUUAUGCCCGGGGACUGCUGAGGUUUUUACAGUGUGUACAAGUGCCUUUUUUUCCUUCUUGGUCCUUUAGCUCCAACUAGAACUGCUUAUAUUUUUAGUUCUGGAAGUUUCUGAUUCAAUUAUGAUGGUGAUUAUGCAUGCAUUUCUGCCCUGAGGCUUGCAUACUGGGCUCAUAAUAUUUAAUGGGCUUAGACUUUGAAAAGACUGUUUCUUUGGGUCUCACAGCACUGUAGGUAAAAUAAUGUAAAAAGAUACCAUUAUUUCUAUUUCUCUCAGCCCCACAGAUCAGCUGUUUUCAGUUUGAUACAUUUGGAAAAAAUAUAUAUGUUUUUC
Dromaius novaehollandiae (emu) is the source of this 1163-nucleotide long non-coding RNA. Lineage: Eukaryota; Metazoa; Chordata; Aves; Casuariiformes; Dromaiidae. The record is from Ensembl.